This 460-nucleotide ribosomal RNA is filed under the name uncultured bacterium. RNAcentral's name for it is "partial 16S ribosomal RNA". It matches the Rfam family "Bacterial small subunit ribosomal RNA", at positions 338 to 795 of the family's 1533-position model. The record is from RNAcentral.
CCUACGGGUGGCAGCAGUGAGGAAUAUUGGUCAAUGGACGAGAGUCUGAACCAGCCAAGUAGCGUGAAGGAUGACUGCCCUAUGGGUUGUAAACUUCUUUUAUAAAGGAAUAAAACGAGGCACGUGUGCCUUUUUGCAUGUACUUUAUGAAUAAGGAUCGGCUAACUCCGUGCCAGCAGCCGCGGUAAUACGGAGGAUCCGAGCGUUAUCCGGAUUUAUUGGGGUUAAAGGGAGCGUAGAUGGGUUGUUAAGUCAGUUGUGAAAGUUUGCGGCUCAACCGUAAAAUUGCAGUUGAUACUGGCAGUCUUGAGUACAGUUGAGGUAGGCGGAAUGCGUGGUGUAGCGGUGAAAUGCUUAGAUAUCACGAAGAACCCCGAUUGCGAAGGCAGCUUACUAAACUGUGACUGACAUUGAGGCACGAAAGUGUGGGGAUCAAACAGGAUUAGAUACCCUAGUAGUC